AACGAACGCUGGCGGCAGGCCUAACACAUGCAAGUCGAGCGCCCCUUCGGGGGAGCGGCGGACGGGUGAGUAACGCGUGGGAACGUACCCUUUGCUACGGAAUAGCCUCGGGAAACUGGGAGUAAUACCGUAUGUGCCCCUUCGGGGGAAAGAUUUAUCGGCAAAGGAUCGGCCCGCGUUGGAUUAGGUAGUUGGUGGGGUAAUGGCCUACCAAGCCGACGAUCCAUAGCUGGUUUGAGAGGAUGAUCAGCCACACUGGGACUGAGACACGGCCCAGACUCCUACGGGAGGCAGCAGUGGGGAAUCUUAGACAAUGGGCGCAAGCCUGAUCUAGCCAUGCCGCGUGAGCGAUGAAGGCCUUAGGGUUGUAAAGCUCUUUCAGGGGGGAAGAUAAUGACUGUACCCCCAGAAGAAGCCCCGGCUAACUCCGUGCCAGCAGCCGCGGUAAAGUACAGUGU
Molecule: ribosomal RNA, 458 nt
Filed under: uncultured bacterium
Lineage: Bacteria
Description: bacterial SSU rRNA
Rfam family: Bacterial small subunit ribosomal RNA
Source: RNAcentral